CUAGUGAGUCCCGCUCUGGGGUACUAGGUAGGCCUACAACCCAAAUCCCGCCCAUCCGGACCGACACGGCGUGAAGCUAGUGAGUCCCCUAAACUUUGCACGUUUGAUUCUGCCACCUGCCAACAGGAGAUAUGUUGAGUCACAGACCUAGUGAGUUCCGUGUGCAGGGAUCAAGGAGGAAACUACCGUAAUCCUCUAGAGCUAAUUGCUAAUGUCGCAGAACAAACAUUGCGGACGGUCGCGUUCCUCCUGAAAGCCUACACAGAAGAGUCGCAUACUUCUAUCUGAACUAUAUCAAUGAUGGCUUUGAGGGAGGAUGUACAGGUUCGGGUGGAGAACGCUAUGGUGGGGGGAGCAGCAGAGUGGUCCAGUACAAGGAGAUGCAUCACAGUCUUUUAAAAUUCCUGUUGAAUGGCCAAGCUGACCUCCAAGCUCAGCUAUGGCAAGACAAUAAGCACAUCACCGGUUGUUGGGCCAACCAGCUGCAUCACUGUAUUGGUGAACGCUGUGGUGAACUACAAGCCUGCAGGGCCUUCAUGCACACUCGGGGCUGACCACAGUGCAAGAUUAAACAACUGCUCAUAACAAGGGCACUGGACCACCUUCUUGCCCAUAUGAGCAAAUGACAAGAAUGAAAUGCCAACAUAGCACCCACACCUCCCUUGACAUUGCUAUUAGCACAUCAUGUUGUCCCUUAAUGUUUUUGACUUAUCUGAUUUGGCAUUGUGUGUGUGUUGGUCACUAAUUCAUCAGUGUGUCUCAACAGUAAGUAAAAAGAGAAAAGAACAAGAGUAGGCCAAAUGAUGAGACGUCGCAUUUACACCCUACACAGAAUCGCAAGGGGUUCAAUUGGAGACUUUGAAUGAAAUGGCAGGAGGGAAUUUUAUAUCUACUAAGUCAACACAGAAUUUUAAGUUAUUAGUGUGCUUAUGUGAAUGUGACAUGUGCAUAUGUUCCAAGAUUAUGUGCCUUGAAUGUAUUUAUUUUUGUAACUUGACUUUUCAAAUCACAAUUGUAUGUAACAGUAUGCCUAUUUAAAAAAAAAUAUUGAAUGACAACUUCAGUUAUUGCUCCUUGCAUUUUGAUUUAAAAACAAUUCUGUUUACAACUCUUGGGCAAAUGACUUUCCCCUAUUUGAAUGUCAUACAAAAUUGAAAUUAAACCUUGAGACAUUACUCCUUGUAUUUUGUUCAAAAUAAUCUCAACACAACCCAUUUGUUUAAGGUCUUUUCACCCUCUUUGAAUGUUUUAUAUUGUAUAGUGGCAGUACGAUAAAUAUUCUCUACAUUUCUUCUGGUUGUGCCUAAGGUCAAGUCUAAACAGGGUGACACGGCAUUUAGUCAUUAGGUCUAUGCUGCAAAAUGCUGGAACCAACUUACAGAUUAUAACUGCCACAAGUGUCUUGUUUUAAGGAAGUAAAAAAAAAAAACAGCUUUAUUCUCAUCUGCCUUUGGUGAUUGUUAAUUACACGCUAUAACACACGCUUUUCCUUCUCUUUUCGCUGUUCUAAGCACAUUGAAUGACAUUUGCUAUGAUAAUGUGCAGUAUAAAUAUUUGCUGUUGAUUGGUGUAGCUGAUAUUCAGGAGAACCACAUGGACUGGACUGAAAGUAGGUCACACAUUUUCAAAAACAAAGUUCAUGGUGUUAAGUAGCCUAAGCCUGGGGUAGUUCAGCCUGGUUAACACCAGUCGGUGUGUGUCUAGCGUUGGCGCCCUCUGGUGGAGCAGGGCAACACACAGGGUGCCGAUUCCGAAGCUACACACACGUCUGGUUAGAAUCAGCCAGGCUAGGGGUAGAUGCUAAUGGAGCAGCAAACUAGCGGCGCAGCAGCCUCCGGUGUGUAGG
This is a long non-coding RNA of Engraulis encrasicolus (European anchovy), 1846 nucleotides long. RefSeq lists it as uncharacterized. Lineage: Eukaryota; Metazoa; Chordata; Actinopteri; Clupeiformes; Engraulidae. The record is from RefSeq and is a predicted model, not a curated record. The transcript is spliced from 4 exons.